RNAcentral lists this ribosomal RNA (457 nucleotides) under uncultured bacterium. RNAcentral describes it as "SSU rRNA". It matches the Rfam family "Bacterial small subunit ribosomal RNA", at positions 26 to 518 of the family's 1533-position model. The record is from RNAcentral.
AGAAUCAACGCUGGCGGCGUGCCUAACACAUGCAAGUCGAACGAGAAAGUGGAGCAAUCCAUGAGUAAAGUGGCGCACGGGUGAGUAACACGUGACUAACCUACCCUUGAGUGGGGGAUAACCUAGGGAAACCUGGGCUAAUACCGCAUAAUACCUUCGGGUCAAAGGAGCAAUUCGCUUAAGGAGGGGGUCGCGGCCGAUUAGUUAGUUGGCGGGGUAAUGGCCCACCAAGACUAUGAUCGGUAUCCGGCCUGAGAGGGCGCACGGACACACUGGAACUGAAACACGGUCCAGACUCCUACGGGAGGCAGCAGUGGGGAAUUUUGCGCAAUGGGGGAACCCUGACGCAGCAACGCCGCGUGGAGGAUGAAGUCCCUUGGGACGUAAACUCCUUUCGAUCGGGACGAUUAUGACGGUACCGAGAGAGAAGCCCGGCUAACUUCGCGCCAGCAGCCGC